GUACUCAUGCUUUACAUAUGUGUGCCAAUUUUCGAGCAUGUACGUGAAACACAGCUUGAGGGCUGUUGAUUUUUUUACGAUAGGUGGUGCUGUCGAGCCAUUUUGCCACACCCUCUUCUGAAACCUAUAUCAGACGUAAAUUUUCACCAGGUCUGACGCGUGUGCAAAGUUUCAGGACUUUUCGAGCAUGUUUAUGCCCUCAAAAAUGCGAUUCAUUUUGGAGAAGAAGAAGAAGAAGAAGAAGAAGAAGAAGAAGAAGAAGAAGAAGAAGAAGAAGAAGAAGAAGAAUAAACAAAGCAGAUACAAGAGGGUCCUCACACCAUCGGUGCUCGGGCCCUAAUAAUAAACAAAGCAGAUACAAUAGGGUCCUCACACCAUCGGUGCUCGGGCCCUAAAUAUAGCUGCAAGCAGCGAUGGCGGGCUCAAGCCAUCAGUGCAAACGCCACCCCUGUGGCAUCGGGAAAACUGUGCCCACCUGGCACAUGCAUUUACAGUAACUCUCUGGCAGUCUGGUUUUAAAGGAUUUGG
This is a long non-coding RNA of Cyprinus carpio carpio, 528 nucleotides long. The record is from Ensembl. NCBI's taxonomy places the organism in Eukaryota, Metazoa, Chordata, Actinopteri, Cypriniformes, Cyprinidae.